This 544-nucleotide ribosomal RNA is filed under the name Bifidobacterium adolescentis. RNAcentral describes it as "partial 16S ribosomal RNA". It matches the Rfam family "Bacterial small subunit ribosomal RNA", at positions 157 to 711 of the family's 1533-position model. Lineage: Bacteria; Bacillati; Actinomycetota; Actinomycetes; Bifidobacteriales; Bifidobacteriaceae. The record is from RNAcentral.
CGGGUGGUAAUGCCGGAUGCUCCAGUUGACCGCAUGGUCCUCUGGGAAAGCUUUUGCGGUAUGGGAUGGGGUCGCGUCCUAUCAGCUUGAUGGCGGGGUAACGGCCCACCAUGGCUUCGACGGGUAGCCGGCCUGAGAGGGCGACCGGCCACAUUGGGACUGAGAUACGGCCCAGACUCCUACGGGAGGCAGCAGUGGGGAAUAUUGCACAAUGGGCGCAAGCCUGAUGCAGCGACGCCGCGUGCGGGAUGACGGCCUUCGGGUUGUAAACCGCUUUUGACUGGGAGCAAGCCCUUCGGGGUGAGUGUACCUUUCGAAUAAGCACCGGCUAACUACGUGCCAGCAGCCGCGGUAAUACGUAGGGUGCAAGCGUUAUCCGGAAUUAUUGGGCGUAAAGGGCUCGUAGGCGGUUCGUCGCGUCCGGUGUGAAAGUCCAUCGCUUAACGGUGGAUCCGCGCCGGGUACGGGCGGGCUUGAGUGCGGUAGGGGAGACUGGAAUUCCCGGUGUAACGGUGGAAUGUGUAGAUAUCGGAAAAGAACACCA